CACGAGUGCCCCAAGCGUUAUCCGGAAUUAUUGGGCGUAAAGGGUGUGUAGGUGGCGUUGUUAGUCUUCUGUCAAAUUCUUCGGCUUAACCGGGGGCAGGCGGAGGAAACGGCAAUGCUCGAGGGUGCGAGGGGUGAAUGGAACUCAUGGAGUAGGGGUGAAAUCCGUUGAUAUCAUGGGGAACACCAAAAGCGAAGGCAAUUCACUGGCGCACUUCUGACACUGAAACACGAAAGCGUGGGUAGCGAACGGG
This 253-nucleotide ribosomal RNA is filed under the name uncultured bacterium. RNAcentral's name for it is "partial 16S ribosomal RNA". It matches the Rfam family "Bacterial small subunit ribosomal RNA", at positions 524 to 776 of the family's 1533-position model. The record is from RNAcentral.